GGCUGCUUCUCGCCUCUGUCCAGCUGUGUGACCUGGGACAAGUCUCUUGGUCACACAGCUGGACAGAGGCGAGAAACAGCC
Non-coding RNA from Callithrix jacchus (white-tufted-ear marmoset), 81 nucleotides. NCBI's taxonomy places the organism in Eukaryota, Metazoa, Chordata, Mammalia, Primates, Cebidae. The record is from Rfam.